Molecule: ribosomal RNA, 254 nt
Filed under: uncultured bacterium
Lineage: Bacteria
Description: partial 16S ribosomal RNA
Rfam family: Bacterial small subunit ribosomal RNA
Source: RNAcentral
UACGUAGGUGACAAGCGUUGUCCGGAUUUACUGGGCGUAAAGAGCGCGCAGGCGGUCGAUCAAGUCGAGUGUGAAAGCCCCCGGCUCAACUGGGGAGGGUCAUUCGAUACUGAUCGACUCGAAGGCAGGAGAGGGUAGUGGAAUUCCCGGUGUAGUGGUGAAAUGCGUAGAUAUUGGGAGGAACACCAGUGGCGAAGGCGGCUCGCUGGACCGGUUCUUGACGCUGAGGCGCGAAAGCUAGGGGAGCAAACGGG